Molecule: ribosomal RNA, 470 nt
Filed under: uncultured Alphaproteobacteria bacterium
Lineage: Bacteria; Pseudomonadati; Pseudomonadota; Alphaproteobacteria
Description: bacterial SSU rRNA
Rfam family: Bacterial small subunit ribosomal RNA
Source: RNAcentral
GAGUUUGAUCGUGGCUCAGAACGAACGCUGGCGGCAUGCCUAAUACAUGCAAGUCGAACGCUCGUAGCAAUACGGGAGUGGCGGACGGGUGAGUAACGCGUGGGAACCUGCCCAGUGGUAGGGAAUAACCGCGGGAAACUGCGGCUAAUACCCUAUGAGCCCUACGGGGGAAAGAUUUAUCGCCAUUGGAGGGGCCCGCGUCGGAUUAGCUAGUUGGUGGGGUAACGGCCCACCAAGGCGACGAUCCGUAGCUGGUCUGAGAGGAUGAUCAGCCACACUGGGACUGAGAUACGGCCCAGACUCCUACGGGAGGCAGCAGUAGGGAAUAUUGGACAAUGGGCGAAAGCCUGAUCCAGCAAUGCCGCGUGAGUGAAGAAGGCCUUAGGGUUGUAAAGCUCUUUCGGCGGGAAGAUGAUGACGGUACCCGCAGAAGAAGCCCCGGCUAACUUCGUGCCAGCCGCCGCAGUAAC